This is a long non-coding RNA of Strigops habroptila (Kakapo), 277 nucleotides long. RefSeq lists it as uncharacterized. The transcript has 3 exons. The record is from RefSeq and is a predicted model, not a curated record. Lineage: Eukaryota; Metazoa; Chordata; Aves; Psittaciformes; Psittacidae.
AACACAUCCCUCACUUGGGGCAAAUACUUGCUCCAUUAUAUAAAGUAAUGCAAAAGAAAUAUGAAUUUGAGUGGGGAAAUGAGCAGCAGCAAGCAUUCGAAACAGCUAAACAAGCAAUUCAGCAGGCUCUGGACCUCUGGCCAGUACAGGCCAGAGAAGUGGAAUUGAAUGUCUCUGUAAAUGAUAAUUAUGCCAAUUGGAGUCUUUGGCAGAAGCAGGGUAGGAAGAAAGUGCCCUUAGGAUUUUGGAACCGAAAAUUACCUGAAGCUGGGCAAAG